Molecule: long non-coding RNA, 1438 nt
Organism: Homo sapiens (human)
Lineage: Eukaryota; Metazoa; Chordata; Mammalia; Primates; Hominidae
Product: long intergenic non-protein coding RNA 1206
Source: Ensembl
UGGCAGUUGAGAUUCAGACCUUGACAGUUGUAACCGAUAGACUGGGCUGGGGCAACGCUGAUGAAAGGCAAAUUCCUGAGAGAAAAAUCACCCAGAUUUUUCAGUGCCUUCUCUAGCUUUCUAGAAGUUGUUAUGAGUGGACCUGACUACCUAGAGAGAGUAAUACAGAAGCUCCGUGCCGAUCACAGCUACCUCAUUACCAUGUUCCUCCAAGAUGGCCGCCCCUGAGGAGAAUCAUCAACUGGGCUUUACGGAAGAGAGAAAUCCAAACGACCAUCAGCAACAAAUGAAAGACUGAAGUUGAAAGUUUCAAGAUUGUCAAGAAUGACGAGUUGGACUUGGUCUAGUUACUUCCACAGCAGCAGGAGGAACAUGUGUGUGACUCAGGAUAACUGGGGAAGCCUUGGCUAGGCUUUCCUCAUGUCAACCUACCACUCAAAGGGAGAAAACCUCCUGAUCAGAGGAAAUCCAUAAUUUUUGAAUGCUGGCCGAGGUCUGUGACCUCUGACUGAAUGGUUUCCAAGCUCCGAAUUCCUAGGUGAUGUUUUCAUUUGUUCACACUUGCUGAAGAAGGGAAAGGCUCUCUGAUUUACGUGUAAGCAAAACAAUCUAAACAGUAGGAUAAAAUCAUGUUGGAAUGGAGUUCUGUGUGGAUGCUCCUUUGAACCAAAUCAGUUCCACAACUGACCCUGUCAGGGACAUAUAAAUUUAGCAUUUUGGUGUGGAUACAGAAGACGAGAUUAACACAGAUCAAGUAACAUGGAAAUAAAAAAGGAGACAAUGCUGGAUGAUACAGGGGCAGCCAACAAGAGGAGAAAACCCAAGCAUUGGCAAAUGCCUCAUUAUCCAAAGAACACUCCUUAUACUCCUGAGAAUUUGUGGCAGUCCUGGGUUAAACGAUGAAGGCUUCUUAUUCUCAUGUAGGUCUCACAGCCUCUUGUCUCCCUGAGUUUUAAACACAUUGCAUUACCUUUCCAGAGGGGCCUCAGAGUAUGUCAGCUGGGGUCAGACGGGAACAGGAGUCUGGCUCAACACACAUUUAUUGCACUCCUGUUUCAUGCCAAGAAAUGUACCAAAAUCUGGGACUGUGUAACACAGCAAAGGAAAAGACUCAUCUCCAGGAAGCCCCCUUGUCUAGGAAGAGAAAUUGAAUAUCAGCAUAAGGUGGUGAAAAGCUGUGAAGGAGAUGAGUGCCAGGAGUCCAUGGAGGAAGGAUUCUAGCCUGGACAGAGUCUCCAUGAAUUGCAAGGGAAAACAAGUGGUACACUGGUAUUUCUAUUUGAUAACCUGUUCUCUUUGGAAUUCCGGUUAGAAAUCAAAGGCUUACUUGAGUUUUAAUGCUUUCGGGACUUCAAAUGCUUUUCUAUCUUCCUAAUAAUAUAUUAACAUUUUCUGAAGACAACAUAUAUGUGGAAAACAACAUUAUUUACUCAAAUAA